CCGGAGGGCCGGAUCUGGCCCCCGGGCCUUGACUUUGACACGUGGUGGGUGGAGGGUCAUUAAAGUUAAGAGUCAACUCUGGACUGCUGUGACCGCCGCAGACUGAAUGCCGCAGGACAGCGCCCUCUGCUGGUGACGCAUCCUCCUGACCUUUGACCUCUGCAGCUGCAGCCAGGAGCAGCUGCGCAGCUGACUGCUGGCAUCGCUGCCCCUCACAUGUUCUGCUGUCUAUAGGCGUCAUGAUGCAACUUCCUGAAAGCUGACGGGCGCCGCAGCUUUCACCUUGUUGCAUCAGAGCACAACAGUUAAGUUUAAAAGGCUUUAAGUGUCGUCAACAACAACAACACAAACGCACAACAGCUGCAGAGCAACACAUCUGUACUUUGGGUCAGUUUGGUGACAAAAAGACAAAACAAGUACAAACAUCCUGACUCACAACUGAGGCAGUACACAGUUACACACAAUCACAGAAACAACACAAACAUUCAGAGCCGUCAUGCCGAUGGAGGAGCUUCUAUUGUGUAAAGUCAUCAAAAAAUGUGCAAUAAAGUUAAAAAAAGAAGAAAAAAAACCUCCAGGACCAGAACCUUCGUUUCAGUCUGACGAGCAGCUGAACCUGCAGACGGACAUCUGCUGCACAGGAAAUGAGGUCACCUCUUCAUUAUGCAGAUCUUUUUGUCUCAACCUGUAGCCUUCACACACACACGUGCUCAUGCGUGUUGGUGUGCGUGCUUUCUUCCAGCCUUGUUGUUGUGUGCCACAGGUAGAUAAGAGCCUCAAACCCUGUACACACACACACAAACACACACAGCAGGUUAUCUUCUCCACAUGGUUAACGUGUUUUUACGCCAUGUGAUGAAAUAUUGAAGAAAUGGUGUCAGAAGAAGUGUUUGUGUGUUAAACUUUACUGUCUCUUUCAUAACAGAUGUGAUGAAAUCAGAGGCCAAGUCUCUGACUCAACUACGGCCUUUCAUGAGAACACACACACACAAACACGCACACACAGGAUUUGUGUUCCUGUAACAAACACUCCUGAUUCUGAGAUUAGCUGGUGUCUCUGACAUGCAGUCGUUUUGUGUCGUUUUGUGUCUUUCAGAGUCAGACUCUAGAAAUACAUCACACUCAAUAAAUUAGGGACAUUGUCUUGUAUUAUUUAUACGACAGCUUUUCCUAUUUGGUCUGAAUUUGAAUGAAAUACAUGAAAAAUCCCCCAUGAUGUUACUAAUAAUGACUGAGAAGAGACACUAUUUUCAUUAAUUUGAUAUUUAUUACUCCAGAAGUGAAGAUAAGAAUAAAGUUUGCCCCCGACAACUUAAGCUGACCAUGUCAUCAGUGGGUAUUUCCAGGGUCUGGGUUGAAAAAAAUCGAUUUAAAUCGAUUUAAGCUUGUUGAAUAAAUAAUCAAUUCACAAAAGAUAAAUCGAUUUAUCACAUAAAGCUUAAGUGCGCUAGCUCGAUGCUAACGUUCAAUAGAAUUUCCUAUUGGACGGCUAAUGCUAAAGUUCAGUUGACCAAAAACAUACAUUGCUGAUUAAUUGAACAUCUUUAUUUACUUACAGGCAUUUGUUUUCCAAACUCUUUCAAGGAAAUAAUUUUAAAGUAACUAUUUGUGGUCUAAAACUUUGUUUUUUUUCCCCUCAUACUGUCGUCUUCUUCUUGACUGAGGUGUACUUCUGUAGCGUGAUCGCCACCUAGUGGCCAAACUUAAACUUUCUCCAGGAGAAGCAGAACAAUGUUUCCAAUGUUAAUGAUCUGAACAUUUUUGUUAGAACUUCUCCUUUAGAGAAUCCAUGUAACGCAUAUUAAAAAUCUCAGUAUUUUACUUAGAAAUUUUACAGUAUGUGAACUGGAUCAGAUUAAUAUAAAU
Oryzias javanicus (javanese ricefish) is the source of this 1866-nucleotide long non-coding RNA. Lineage: Eukaryota; Metazoa; Chordata; Actinopteri; Beloniformes; Adrianichthyidae. The record is from Ensembl.